UUAGCCUAGCUCUCUCUCUCUCUCACAUAGUCAUCUUCCUCCCUCAGCCAUCCAAGCUUAACUCCACAGUUCACAUCCACGAGGGGUUUCUUCCAAAUUGGUUUGAUAGGAAGGUGAUGUUGUUGUUGCUGUCGCUGACAGACUAUUUUUCCUGGGUCGUGGUUGGUGGGUGUUACUGCGAAUGCUUACAAGGUUGCUGAUUCUCCUUCUAAGGUCUCUCUUUCUCUCUAUUUCUUCAAAUUCUAAGGUUUUUUUUUUUUUGGGUUACUUUUUUUUUUAAUUUCUUUUGCUAAUUGUAAUUGGGCCUUUGUUGCAGAGGUGGAUUUGUUUUGUGCCCAAAAGA
Molecule: long non-coding RNA, 343 nt
Organism: Prunus persica (peach)
Lineage: Eukaryota; Viridiplantae; Streptophyta; Magnoliopsida; Rosales; Rosaceae
Exons: 2
Source: RefSeq, a predicted model, not a curated record